RNAcentral lists this unclassified non-coding RNA (288 nucleotides) under plant metagenome. RNAcentral describes it as "partial contains small subunit ribosomal RNA, internal transcribed spacer 1, and 5.8S ribosomal RNA". The stretch from base 1 to 53 matches the Rfam family "Eukaryotic small subunit ribosomal RNA", at positions 1778 to 1831 of the family's 1831-position model. The record is from RNAcentral.
GGAAGUAAAAGUGUAACAAGGUUUCCGUAGGUGAACCUGCGGAAGGAUCAUUAUCGUACACAAUGUGAGGGGCAUGCGAGGGCUGUCGCUGACCCAACAGUCGUGCACGCCCGAGUGUGUCCUCUUGCAUAAUAAUCCAUCUCACCCUUUGUGCAUCACCGCGUGGUCACCCUUCGGGAUCAUCUCGGAGGGGGGCUCGCGUUUUCACACAAACCCCCCUUUUAAAAGUGUGGAAUGACCACAUUUAUGCAAUCAAUACAACUUUCAACAACGGAUCUCUUGGCUCUC